This 492-nucleotide ribosomal RNA is filed under the name uncultured bacterium. RNAcentral describes it as "partial 16S ribosomal RNA". It matches the Rfam family "Bacterial small subunit ribosomal RNA", at positions 29 to 507 of the family's 1533-position model. The record is from RNAcentral.
AGUGAACGCUGGCGGUAGGCCUAACACAUGCAAGUCGAACGGCAGCACAGUAAGAGCUUGCUCUUACGGGUGGCGAGUGGCGGACGGGUGAGGAAUACAUCGGAAUCUACUUUUUCGUGGGGGAUAACGUAGGGAAACUUACGCUAAUACCGCAUACGACCUACGGGUGAAAGCAGGGGAUCUUCGGACCUUGCGCGAUUGAAUGAGCCGAUAUCGGAUUAGCUAGUUGGCGGGGUAAAGGCCCACCAAGGCGACGAUCCGUAGCUGGUCUGAGAGGAUGAUCAGCCACACUGGAACUGAGACACGGUCCAGACUCCUACGGGAGGCAGCAGUGGGGAAUAUUGGACAAUGGGCGCAAGCCUGAUCCAGCCAUACCGCGUGGGUGAAGAAGGCCUUCGGGUUGUAAAGCCCUUUUAUUGGGAAAGAAAAGCAGCAGGUUAAUACCCCGCUGUUCUGACGGUACCCAAAGAAUAAGCACCGGCUAACUUCGUG